Macaca fascicularis (crab-eating macaque) is the source of this 148-nucleotide unclassified non-coding RNA. It matches the Rfam family "Metazoan signal recognition particle RNA". Rfam says of the family: The signal recognition particle (SRP) is a universally conserved ribonucleoprotein. It is involved in the co-translational targeting of proteins to membranes. The eukaryotic SRP consists of a 300-nucleotide 7S RNA and six proteins: SRPs 72, 68, 54, 19, 14, and 9. The record is from Ensembl. Lineage: Eukaryota; Metazoa; Chordata; Mammalia; Primates; Cercopithecidae.
GCCAGGUAUGGUGGCGUGCCCCUGUAGUCCCAGCUACUCAAGAGGCUGAGGUGGGAGGAUUGCUUGAGCUCAGGAAUUCUGGACUGCAGUGAGCUGUGAUUGCACCACUGUACUCCAUCCUGGGCAACAGAGAGAGACCCCAUCUCUU